Long non-coding RNA from Rhineura floridana, 259 nucleotides. RefSeq lists it as uncharacterized. Lineage: Eukaryota; Metazoa; Chordata; Lepidosauria; Squamata; Rhineuridae. The record is from RefSeq and is a predicted model, not a curated record. The transcript is spliced from 3 exons.
CAGAGGGGCUUCCAUUUAGCAUUUUGUUGGCAAGAUGUUCCUAGUCCUGAGAUUUAUAAGUAUUUGUAGCCACUGCGGCUGCUUUAAGGACGGACCAUCCCCUCCUCUGUUUUCCUCAAGGUACAGCUGAGAAGAGAGGGGAGGAAGAGAGCGGGUUACUUCUGUCUCUACUGCAGCAGCAAGGGAAGAGGGAAGGUAUUAAAGAUACUGGAGCCUGUCUUCCAUGUGGCCACCCUAUGAUUCCUUCAUGUCAAGAUGC